GCUCUGGUGGCCCAAUUGCAUAGUGCGUUGGAUUUCUAAGCCAAAGGUUGCGGGUUCAAGUCCCAGAUACAACA
RNAcentral lists this transfer RNA (74 nucleotides) under Perkinsus olseni. RNAcentral's name for it is "tRNA-Arg". Lineage: Eukaryota; Perkinsozoa; Perkinsida; Perkinsidae. The record is from RNAcentral.